UGUAAGGCUGAACACCGUUACUGACAAUCCUCAUUUUGGCUGCGUGAGAUUCUCCAGCUUUGUUGUUGUUGAGCUGUUAAAGCUCCGCCCUCUUCUGGAAAGGGGGCCGGGAGCAGCAGCUCAUUUGCAUUUAAAGGGACACACACACAAAAAUGGUGUGUUUUUGCUCACACCCAAAUAGAGGCAAAUUUGACAAGCUAUAAUAAAUGAUCUGUGGGGUAUUUUGAGCUGAAACUUCACAGACACAUUCUGGGGACACCAGAGACUUAUUUUACACAAAAGGAGCAUUAUAGGUCUCCUUUAAUAUUCACACACAUUAGUCCAUAUUGCCAUUUGAUUAAGUCUACAGCCCUACUUUUGAUUUAUUCAUCCAAAUCUGGCCAAAUUCCAUGACAUUCCACAUUAUUCAUUACAUUCCAUUUUUGUGGCUGAAUUCUGUGAUUCUGUCUUAGAGCCCUAGUACUUGUAUAGUUUAUGAUCUACAGUUACACCAAGCUCGAAUGAAUAUAAUUUCGAAUAGCUUCAUCAGUGAGCUUUUCUUAAAUAUAAAUGUUUAGAUAUACAGUAGUAGUGGUGUUGCUGCACUGAGGCUCCUUUAAAUUCUUCCACUAAAAAUAUCAGCUAGACGGACGACUCUGGCCAUUGUGCUGCGUCUCGCCUUGAUAUUUUGAGCAUCCUGUUUUUAAGAUGGCAUGUUCAAGUUAAAAAUAGUCCAACUUUUAAAGAUACAUCUUGAGAGCCCUGCCUGCUGUCCCGUCCUGAGAAACACUGGUGCACAACUGACAUUCAAUUUUGAAUUAAGGAAGUAGAAUUAACAUGAAAUGAAAACAAGUGUCCUUAAUUACUAGAAAUGGAAGAUUCAUCAUGACAAAAUGGUGAAUGACUGACAAAACCUUGUCUGAGCAUUUAAAUAGGUUUAAAGUUUGACGUUUGAAGGUUUUAUAGGUCUUACAGACAGACAGACCCAAAGAUCUGUAUAAAGUAUGUCACAUAUAGACAUUUCUACUUGAUUUCUUUAUAUUUAACAAAUUAUUAGAGUGCAACAGUCGGAUAAAAAAAUAAUUUUCUCCAUAGUGGAAAUGAUUGAUUAAAUGUUUGAUAUGCAUAUUUGCAAUAAAUGUAAAAUUUAUUGUUGCUUUUUAUACACUCAACAUCUAUAAAUCAGUAGUUUUAUAGUUCUCGGUUUUUAAUUUGAUUAUGUCAUCUGCAAUGCUUCAUGGGAUUGUAGUUCUUUCCCUCAUUAAGUAUACAGUCUUGUACUUUUCUCUUUUUGUCUGAUUUUCAAGUAUUUUUUUUGCUCAAAAUCAAGUUGCUGUUCAAUAAUGUGGCUAUAAUACUUUAGCAAAGUUUUUUUUUUUUUAAAUCCCAAUGGGAAAAAUAACUGGGGACGUGCAACAUUGCACUUCAUGUCAGUUUAUUCCACAGCAUGUUAUUCUAAUUCAACUUCCUGUAGGAACUGGUGGAAUUUGUAUCUGCAGAUCUGCAGCCAAAGCAGUGUUUCAACUUCAGCGAGCUUGACGAAACGAGUAAAGACUGGCAUAAACACAUCUGUUUGUACUUACAGAACGAUCUACAGGCUGUAUAACUCAAGUUUCUGAAAGUCCUGGUUCUCGGAGAGCAUGAAGCAAUUUUUACCGACACACACAGACAGAGCGGCGUGAAGCUUUAACAGAAGCCAGACAUGUGGACUCACUAUCAGUCUGGUUUAUGAGGCAGUUUCAUCCUCUCAUCUGGGCUUCAGAGCGGCUCAGGCUUCAUCCCGCUGCCCCUCAGGCUUUUCCUGAAGAUCACAGAGGGGUUUAUGCUCAUUACUGAAGCCUUCCGUCUGCCAUUUUUCCAGGUCACUUCCUAACCUCUUCCUCAGGAGCACCGGGACGCUGCCUGGACAGUUCUGAUACUUUCCUCAUGAUGGCUUAGCAAAAUUGACUAGAACAUUUGCUGUACAUCUGCAGGACGGCACUGGCAGGGUUUAUGUGGGAUUCUGUAGGGAAACUGCUGCAGACAGCUGGGAAAUAUUAUGGGUAAUUUCUGCGCUGGAGGGUUUAACAUGGGCCACAUGAAGAGCCCCUAGCAGAGGAAAGGCCCAGAUAUACAAGCAAAGUCAAAGAACGAACAUUUUGAACAAAAUCAGGCCAAAGCAAAAUGCCUUCGAACUACCAUUGGUCCGUGGUGCUGACAUGUGGGUGUGGCUCCGAGGCUCCGCCUUCUGUGAGGUGUUACUCUUCUCCAGUUCAUUUCUUCUUCUUCAGUCUGUCAAGGUCUAUUGUAUAAAUAAACCUGAAGUGACUGGGCUGACGAAUUGCAGAGCUUGUUCAAACAUAUCCACGUCACUAUGAUCAGAUGUUAUCUUAACUGCUGUUUUCUCGCUGCUGGCAUUUUUGAUGUGUGUUUAUUUUGUUAUUGAGAGUAAAGCCUGAAGCACAUAUUUACAUAUUCAUAUAAACGUCACUCUCGGCAGCGUCGAUGGUGUCAGGUUGUUCACUAACAGUAUAUCCUGCAAAGAAAUUUCCAACUUUUUUUACCCUUAAAGCAAAGAAUGAAAAAUAAUAUCAGGCUCUGAAGAUGUAUUCCCAUCACAAGGUACAGUUCCUCUGAAACUCUGAGCCCUCAAGGCAUUCAGACGAGAAAUCUGUGGCUUCAUCCUGUUGUGCUGAAAAUCUGGGCACCGCUUUUGUGUUGGGGGUCAAAAUGACCACCAUUGGUUUCCUUGCAAUUCACCAAAAAUUAACACUACGAAAACAAUUAAAGAUUCAAGUAGAAACAGAUAACCUUGCUUGUCAGAGACUAAAACAUAUAAAAUAUGUGAGAAAUGUAAUAAUUUCCAUCAAUUUCUAUUGUGUUAGUGGUCAAGCCACAUAUUUUUAUGUUUAAAAUUAGCUGCACAGACAAAACUUUUAUUUUUUGUAGUGACUAUUUGAGGUGCAAAUUACUACAACUAGGCUAACCAUAAAAAGUAUCUAACAUUAUUUGUAGUUGGUGUGAAUAGCCUCUGGCUUUUUGUUAUGUCUGGUUCUCAAACUCUUGUGAGGAUAAAAUGUGUUUCUCACAAUUAUUUUCAGUGCUAUAACAGCCAAAAACAUUCUUUCACAGUUUGAUUGUGAAACUCAACUAGAUGAAGAAACAGUGAAUUCUCCUUGGAUGAUUCAGAAGACAAGCCUUCAAUUUCAAGUAAACUUUGAGUCUUGCGUUUCAUAAUUUCCAAUGUACACUAUAUUGCCAAAAGUUUUGGGACGCCUGCCUUUAUGUGCACAUAAACUUUAAUGACAUCCCAUUAUUAAUUCGUAGGGUUUAAUGUGGAGUUGGCCUACCCUUUGCAGCUAUAACAGCCUCAACUCUUCUGGGAAGGCUUUCCACAAGGUUUAGGAGAAUUUUUUUAUGGGAAUUUUUGACCAUUCUUCUAGAAGAGCAUUUGUGAGGUCAGGCAGCGAUGUUGGCGAGAAGGCCUGGCUCGCAGUCUCCGCUCUAAUUCAUCCCAAAGGUGUUCUAUCGGGUUGAGGUCAGGACUCUGUGCAGGCCAUUAAAGCCCACACACCAAACUCGCCCAUCCAUGUCUUCAUGGACCUUGCUUUGUGCACUGGUGCGCAGUCAUGUUGGAACAGAAAGGGGUCAUCCCCAAACUGUUCCCACAAAGUUGGGAGCAUGAAAUUGUCCAAAAUGUCUUGGUAUGCUGAAGCAUUAAGAGUUCCUUUCACUGGAACUAAGGGGCCAAGCCCAACCCCUGAAAAACAACCCCACACCAUAAUCCCCCCUCCACCAAACUUUACACUUGGCACAAUGCAGACUCAUCCAUCAGGUUGCCAGACAGAGAAGCGUGAUUCGUCACUCCAGAGAACACGUCUCCACUGCUCUAGAGUCCAGUGUUGUCGUGCUUUACACCACUGCAUCCGACACUUUGCAUUGCACUUGGUGAUGUAAGGCUUGGAUGCAGCUGCUCGGCCAUGGAAACCCAUUCCAUGAAGCUCUCUACACACUGUUCUUGAUCUAAUCUGAAGGCCACAUGAAGUUCUUUCACAAAUGUUUGUAGAAGCAGUCUGCAUGCCUAGGUGCUUGAUUUGAUACACCUGUGGCCAUGGAAGUGAUUGGAACGCCUGAAUUCAGUGAUUUGGAGGGGUGUCACAAUACUUUUGGCAAUAUAGUAUAUGCCAUAUUUCAGUGUUUGACAAGCUACAAUAAAGGUUAUCUGUUUUUUUACCUGACACUUUGCAUUGAAUUUUGAGUAAACCUUCUCACUGAAUCUCAUCCAGGCCUCAAACACAUCUGGCUGAACUCAUUUCCUUGCAUCGAGCCCUUAUCAACACCCCGAGCAGCUGCUGUGGGGCUCCAGCAGGCCAUUGGCCAGAUCUACUUUCCCACAGAGCGCAGAAGUUAUAGGGUGAUGUUGCCAUUCUCUAGAGUCGCAGCGAUUGGUGCUCCUACAGGACGUUCCUCACGGUUCCUGUGUUUACCCUACCUGUUUAUCUGCCAGGAACCUUCACCUAAACCAUGUGUCAACACAGAUCAAAUGCUCUGUUGACUAUUAACUCGCAUGUGCAGCAUCGAGCAGAGCUGCACGUGUCGUAUAUCACUAACUCCACCUGCUUAACUGCGAUAGCGCCAAGGCCAGUCCCGUGAAUGACAGGCUGCUGUUUAUGAAGAUGGUGAUAGUGGGUGACGUGCGAAUGUAACGCUGAAGAACUGAAUGCUUUGGGCACGUCCCCGUCGAUGUCUAAUUCAAUAAAACAAAACAUUUCAGAAGACCACCCAUCUAACAGGGAACCUUCUCAGAACUUUAGUUAAUGUUUAUGAAUAAACAUUGCUCCAGUACCGUUACUAGAAAAUUUGUUCAAAGUUAUCUGGUCUAUAAUAAUGUUCUCAAAAUGUCAGCACAAAAACAUUGUGUUCAUGGAACAUUUUUGUUGGAAGUUCAUCCAAUGUUUUUAAAUGUUACUACUUGUUUCAGAACAUUCAAAAGCAAUAUUAGAAUAAUGUUUGCAAAAUGAUAAAAUAAAAUGUUACCCUAAUGUUCGCAUAACCAAGAAACAUUCAGACAACAUUAAGAAAUAACAUUUUGUUUCUUAGAACAAAUAUUUUUGUUCGCUGAGCAAGCAUUGAGUUUACGGCAUAAAAUAAGGCUGAGAGUCAUAAAGACAGACGUCUCUCAAGGUAAUGUCAAUAGAAAGAUGUCCAGUCAGAGUCUUGACAACAAUCCAUCUCAAACAGGAGCACAACACACAAACAGCACAGAGAGCAGAUGUUCCUGACACACAACAGGAGUUACUGAAAGUUCAUCUACUGCAGUUCAAUAAUAAUGAUCAUCUUUGCGAUUAGAUUGUAACACCUAGUUCCCUUAGUAGGAUGUGAAGGUCAAUUCUGGGGAUGACAGCAAAAUAACUCAAGCAGUAAUGGCGAACGAGAUAAUAAACUAGAUAAUGAACUAUCUGUGCAGUUGUUGGAGAUAAUAUUGUUUUCUCAAACAAACCUAAUCCAUCACACACAAUUCACAACAAUAUUUAGGCCUAAAUAUAAGAUUUCACGAGUUCACCCUUACAAAUAAGUCAGAUAGAUAAAUAGUAUGCGUAUUUGGCGUGCUGUCCGAGGAGAGGGCUCCGAGCUCGGUAUUUGGCCCGAACCCAGAGUACUCCCCCCGUAUUCUGGUUUAGGAAGAUAACCGGGCGAGUGUGAGGAGACGGGGUGGUGGAGGGAUGCUGAAAAACUGUCGAGAAACAUGGAUUGUUUGGAGCCGUUGUGUCAGACGACAGAUGUGGAAGCUGACCUCUGACCAACGCUGGCAUGAGUGUGUGGAGCGACGAGGGACAGCUGGACCCGAUGAUGCAAUCUGCACCCGGCAUUACGAAGGAAACCUUUAAUGACACCUUGAGACGGUCCUGUGACGACCCGUAUGACUGACAAAACUCCUGACUGCAGUGUUCAAAUCAACUGCUAAUGUGAAAGAAGAUCACAAUGGCAGGAACCUUUCACAGCUAACUUUACCCUAUUGUUGUGUUAAUGACUUUAACACACUUCAGCUGAGAGCUCUGUGACCACAACAAGCUUCAUUAUAAUCUCAAUGUUCAGUGUUCAUAUGAAGAUAGAGCCAUCAGAGCAUCAUCAGCUCUUCAUAUCCUCAUCUGUUUGGGUUGAGCUGUCGAGAACGUAAUAAGCAUUCAGAUGUAGAUGAGCUUCAUCACUGCAGCACUCAUGCGUCUUAUAAACAGACUUACAUACAGGAUCAUCUGAAAGUCUUUGAAGGCACAUAACUGCUUUAAACACAUGACAACAUCCCUAUAUGUGCAGCUGUAGGGUAUAAUAUGACAUCUGUUAACCAUCACACUGCAGACGCUUUUAAACACUUUCCUUCCAACAACACUGAGUACUGGAAAUAUGUUCGCUUUAGCUCUGAAGAGCGGCAGUAAAUGAGUGAUCAAUAGGGGAAGUAAAUCAUUGACAGAAACACACUGAUGUGACGUGAUUGAGAAAAGUGACACAUCCACCUCAAUGCCUUCUGGCAAGAUCAAUCAAAUUAGCUUUGAUCAAAUAAAUCACAUCAAUUUAGAUCCAGUUUGAUAUGUAAAACUGACUCCUUUCAUUAUAUUCACCUCAAUAACAAUAUCUCAAUACCAGUCACACAGGUUCUCUAAUCGUUCAGCCCAGGACUGGUGUUUUAUAAAUCAUACAACUGCACUCGUCUCAUUGUUGUUAAAGUUUCUCUGGCAGUGGUUUUGAAAUGUUGGUCAAAACUAGUGUUUGAUAAGACUGUCCUCCAAACUAAAUCACUAAUAUCAUCAUAGGUUUCCAGUGUUAAUACAAUAACUGACACACAUUCAUACAAGAAGGCACAUUUUUAAUGAAUAGUUGGACUGCUGUCUCGAGAGAUACUGUCAAGUCAGAUCAAAUUUUCAGAUGUGGUUUUGUUUCUGUUGGCCAAAACAAUGAUUUAACAUAAAUUACCAUUUAUGAGUAUCAUGGGUUGUUUUGUGCUUCAUAAUGCUUUACUGUUUAGACUAUAAUAGAUCUCUAUAUAGGCCUAUUGUUUGACAUGCUGUCACAUUGUGUGUGUUUAAUAAACAGUGUAUUUUUCCA
Long non-coding RNA from Ctenopharyngodon idella (grass carp), 7059 nucleotides. RefSeq lists it as uncharacterized. Lineage: Eukaryota; Metazoa; Chordata; Actinopteri; Cypriniformes; Xenocyprididae. The transcript is spliced from 2 exons. The record is from RefSeq and is a predicted model, not a curated record.